GUGCAUGUUCAGUUUGUCAGGCACUGACAGAGCAAUGCCAAGCAGCCGAGGCAGAGGAAUCCAGAGGCUAAGGAAGGCCAAUGAAGAGAGGACAGGACAGCAGCCUGAAGUUCUUCCUCCAGGUUCCUGCUUGGUUUGGUGUCCUUCCUUGGCUUCCCUCAAUAGAUUGUGAUUCAGGAUAGCCACGGAACCACCCCAUGAUCAUGAAGUCUAAGAAGACACCCACUUCUGCCGCCAGGGCCCUAUUUGCCUUCAGAGACUCCACCACACCACCUGUUCCUAGCGUGGGGUCCCCAGUAAUCCGUCACAGCACACAGUGUCCCUCUUGACAGACCCCCAACCUUUAAGCAGCCAUGUUCUUGUGACAGCUUUCUCUGCACAUGCCUGUGAGCACAGUAGACACUUAGCAGCUGCCUCCUGCCUUGCCUCCUGCUGCAUUGCCCUUUUCCACAGUGACAGCCGGUAGAUUUGGUAGAUUCGAUUGCUCUCAUUUCAUCACUUCAAGGUCACUGCCGCUGCUGUGCUAUGUGAGAUCUUGGCUCCAAGCCCUGGCCUGAAAACCUUCUGGGAAGAUAGACCGAGUUUCUCAUUAAUCUAUUCGGUCUAGAAGUGUCCACAGGGUGCCUACUGUGUCCCAGGCACUGUUGUGGGUUUCAGGCCAUAUCGUCACCAGAGCUUGUCUUCUGGUAAGAGAAAGCAGAGAAGCUCUGACAGAAUAUAUGAUCUUUCGGAGGUGAUAUGUGUGGAGGGGAGGGGAGGGUGUCAAACGGUUAAGAGAACCUCGAGGCUCGAGUGGGAAGUGUAAUGGCUGCCAUCUGAAUCAUUGGGCCAUGUGAACAGACAGAGAUGAAAAAGAUAACUGUGUGGGCACCCACAGAAAGAUCAUACAGACCAAGGCUUGCUACAUCACACCCCUGAAGCUGAAGCCUUCCUGAGGGCUGGAACAGAGAGCAAGGUGGGAGCGGCUUGGAUUUCAGCCUGAGAGAUAAACAGACGGUUAUCAGCUCCAACCACACCUCUAGCCAACACAGAGACCUCUAGCCAGACGAGGCUCUAAGUUCGUGAAGUGUGGCUGGUCCAAAGAGACGGCACCUCACAUUUGAAAGGCUGAAUGGACGCAAACAUAAGAUUCGCUAUUUUUGUCUGGAUGACAUUUGACAACAACAGUAAUUCUGUGGUAUUGGGUUAACUAAAGCAUAUUACUGCCUUUUUCCUCAUUGGUGGGAGAGGGAGGAUAGACGGGUCCCCAGCAGCUAUACUAGAGUCAGCCAGGGAAGUCAGAGUAGGGUUCUCACACUUGCUGCAUCUGUUCAAACUACCACAGUCCCCAGCCCGGAAAAGCGAGUUGAACAUGCAUGGGCAGUGUUUCCAUCAGUGUGCAAAGGAUACAGGAAUCACUAAGGUGGAGUAAGUGCCUUUGGAUGGAAUAUUCCAGACCAUCCAUUUAAUGAAGAGAGGCCACACCAGUCUUCAUGCA
Alexandromys fortis (reed vole) is the source of this 1477-nucleotide long non-coding RNA. RefSeq lists it as uncharacterized. The transcript has 3 exons. The record is from RefSeq and is a predicted model, not a curated record. Lineage: Eukaryota; Metazoa; Chordata; Mammalia; Rodentia; Cricetidae.